GUCCCUUUUGAUGAGAAGAAUAAGCCUCAUUCUGAUUCAACAGCAGAGAUCAAAGAAAAGACUUCUGUUUUCUGGCCACCAGAUAUAUGUUAUCUGUGCUUAAAGAAUUGAAAAACACACAUCAAAGGAGAAUUUUCUUGGAAAGAGAGGGUUCAAGCAUCACUGUUAGGUGUGCUGGAAUCCUUUCCCGAGUCAGUACUGCUUUCUAGAAGAAAACCGGGGAGAUCUAUUUGGAAUGUAUC
RNAcentral lists this long non-coding RNA (242 nucleotides) under Homo sapiens (human). Its description in RNAcentral is "non-protein coding CDKN2B-AS1:32". The stretch from base 7 to 150 matches the Rfam family "CDKN2B antisense RNA 1 convserved region 3". The record is from RNAcentral. Lineage: Eukaryota; Metazoa; Chordata; Mammalia; Primates; Hominidae.